UGGGGAAUCUUGGACAAUGGGCGAAAGCCUGAUCCAGUAAUAUUUAUGGUGUGAUGGAGACGGCGUGCUUUGUAAAACACUUUUGUAAACAAAAAUAAUGAUAAUUGUUUAAGAAUUUAGUCCCGGCUAAUUUCGUGCCAGCAGCCGCGGUAAUACGGGAGGGACAAGCGUUAUUCAUCAUGAUUGGGCGUAAAGGGUUCGUAGGCGAUGAUAAAUGGUUACUGGGAAAUAACAAAGGUUAAUUUUGUUAAAAGGUAACGACAGAGUGGGUACAGAGAUGACGAAGGUGGGCACAAUUACUAAUGUAAAGGUAAAAUAUUUUGAUAUUAGUACGAAUACCGCACGCGAAGGCAGCUUUCUUCAACGUCUAACGCUGAGGCACGAAAGCAUGGGAAUCAAA
RNAcentral lists this ribosomal RNA (400 nucleotides) under uncultured bacterium. RNAcentral's name for it is "bacterial SSU rRNA". It matches the Rfam family "Bacterial small subunit ribosomal RNA", at positions 355 to 772 of the family's 1533-position model. The record is from RNAcentral.